AAUCAACGCUGGCGGCGUGCCUCAGACAUGCAAGUCGAACGAUUAAACUUUCCUUCGGGAAAGAUAUAAAGUGGCGCACGGGUGAGUAACACGUAAGUAAUCUACCCUCGAGUGGGGAAUAACGUUCGGAACGGACGCUAAUACCGCAUAAUGCAGCGGCACCGCAAGGUGACAGUUGUUAAAGAUUUAUCGCUUGAGGAGGAGCUUGCGGCAGAUUAGCUGGUUGGUAAGGUAACGGCUUACCAAGGCUACGAUCUGUAACCGGUCUAAGAGGACGGUCGGUCACACUGACACUGAAUAACGGGUCAGACUCCUACGGGAGGCAGCAGUCGGGAAUUUUGGGCAAUGGGCGAAAGCCUGACCCAGCAACGCCGCGUGAAGGAUGAAGUAUUUCGGUAUGUAAACUUCG
Molecule: ribosomal RNA, 409 nt
Filed under: uncultured bacterium
Lineage: Bacteria
Description: bacterial SSU rRNA
Rfam family: Bacterial small subunit ribosomal RNA
Source: RNAcentral